AGAUUGAACGCUGGCGGCAUGCCUUACACAUGCAAGUCGAACGGUAGAGUAGCAAUACUUGAGAGUGGCGAACGGGUGAGUAAUAUAUCGGAACGUGCCCAGUCGUGGGGGAUAACGUAGAGAAAUUUACGCUAAUACCGCAUACGAUCUAAGGAUGAAAGCGGGGGACCGUAAGGCCUCGCGCGAUUGGAGCGGCUGAUAUCAGAUUAGGUUGUUGGUGAGGUAAAAGCUCACCAAGCCGACGAUCUGUAGCUGGUUUGAGAGAACGACCAGCCACACUGGGACUGAGACACGGCCCAGACUCCUACGGGAGCAGCAGGUGGGAAUUUGGACAUGGGCAAAGCUGAUCCAGCCAAUGCCGCGUG
Molecule: ribosomal RNA, 365 nt
Filed under: uncultured soil bacterium
Lineage: Bacteria
Description: bacterial SSU rRNA
Rfam family: Bacterial small subunit ribosomal RNA
Source: RNAcentral